UAGAGUGUGUGGCCCGGUGUGGCCGUGCAGGAGCUCUUUGUGAGAGCCAGUGUGCUGCCUUGAUUUAAAAUAAAAAAAAAAAAUGUCAGACUGCAGUUCACUGCGCUGGAUUUUAUUUCAUCUGCGCUGAGUAUGUGCGACAAGUGCGCAAAUGCGCAGUUGCGCAGCUGAGAGGGAACAUUGGUGGGGCGGUAUCCUUGCGGCAUGCAGCUGAGCUUUUAAGUUGCCGGCUGAUGAAUGCGCACUCAGGCCUUCCAGUAAUGGGUCUAAAGUGCUCCUUUCAUCUGGCCCAGGAGGAGAGCAAGAAUGGAAAAGUAUGAUUAUCAUUGGUGUGGCGUGUCUUUGCCAGUCGGGCUCUGAGUGUUAAGUGUGAGGCAGAAGCAUUACAGUUUUGCCUGAUCACUGUUAUUAUAAAGUUCAGGUCGUAUUCAUCAUCAUCACCGUCAUCAUCAACAUCGGCACUAGGGGGUGGCUCAUCGCGUGCACAGUGAACCAGUGAGUGAUUCAUCUGAUGAAUGUGUGGACAAAAAAAAGUGCUUCUAUUAAAAGGUCAUACAACCCAUGAGCAGAGGAAUUGGAACACAAGGCUGAUAAUAACUGGCCUAGUUGGGAACUGGGUGCACCUCUCAAGGCCAACUCUUCUGGAUGGUCGCCAUGAGGAGGCCGCUCUAACUGGUUCCACUGACACACACACAGACACGAAACUGAACUCAGCGGACCCUUCUGGCCAGAUGAUGGAAGGUCGUGAGCAGACUCUCACGGGAGACUUCCUGGCCAGCUGUUCCUGCAGACUGGGCGUCUCCUCCACGGCACAGCCCCUCACCCUGGAGUGACCCGGCCGCCUCCGUAAAGCGCCGCCGUGGAUUUGGAUCCACCCACGUACAAUCAUACUCACUUCUUUAGAUUUGGGGCUCAACGUGUUGCCACGCCUGUCAACACGUCUGGUUGUCAUGCCGGAAGCAUUUUAUCAGCAAGUCAAACAACACUACUUGGAGGGGUCUGGAUCGGAAUCGCUCCAUUAGGCCACGAUUAGACGCGGUUGCCAAAUCACGAGGGAAUCUCAGCGAGGGAAUGGUCAAGCGACGGCGCCUUCACAAACUCACAUGCACGCAACGUUCAGGAAGGACGAAAGGAAGUACAAAUACCAUUACUCCACUCCAGAAUAUUUUUCAGGCCAGUGGUGGUGACAUUCAUCAUAGACAGCACGAGACAUCCUAAAGGGCAAAGCGAUGCGCUUGAUGGAACUGGGAGAGACAGAAGCCCAAAGCAGGAUAAUCAAAGAUGGCGUCCACAGAGUCCCACGGUGUCUGGCAGCCCCUCCUGCGAUGAGUAGCGUGUUCGGAGACCCGAAAAAAUGGCGGCAUCUCGUCUCAUGCGGCGCGUUAAGAGGGUUGACCCUUCAGUCGGUGAGGUCGCGGCGCAUCCGAGGGGUUUCCGUGGGGGUCGCCUCAAGGAUGAACUGAGUAUCUGAGCCAAUCCAUCCAUCCAUUAUCCAAGCCGCUCAUCCUCACAAGGGUCACGGGAGAGCCAGAGCCUAUGCCAGCUAGCUUUGGGCGAAAGGGAUACUACACCCUGAACUGGUCGCCAGGCAGAUAUCGACAACAUCACUGAGCGGGAAUCGACCCCACGCCGCCCACACCAAAGUCAGCCGUGUGUACCACGACACAAUCAGCGGUUACCUUUUCGGGUUGGUUUGGAAUGAGUGGCCGCCACCGUGGUCAAGUCUGCCGGGAGACCCACGUACACGCCGCCAUAGUUUCUGAGUGGAGAGCAGAUGAGUAUUUUCAUGAUUAUAUAAAGUGUGAACAUUAUCAAGAGUCCUGUAGCAAUGUUUGCAUUCAUCUAACAAUUUUUGCCCUUUAAAACAGGUUGAUGAAAAUGUGUUUAUUUUGCUGUUUUGUAGUCACUGAUCUAAAUUUAAAUAAUUGGUGAAAAGAUUUAUUGCAAACAAACGUACAAAUAAUAAGCAGAGUUAUUACAUGAAUUCAAAUGUUACGUAGACUUUUUACAUUUGUUAAUUUAUUUGAUUAAAUAUGUUGUUCAUUAAUUGUGGUGAAUUAUAAAUAUUAGAAUUGGACAUUUACAGUAUUCUUAAAGUAUUUGACAUAUUUAGCCACGCAUUUUAUUUUACCUAACUUUUUUUUUUUUUUUUUUUUACUUCCUCCACAAAUGACCCGAUUCAUCUGUCCAUUUUAAGAACCAAAUGUAGCCCGUUAGCGCCAACGUUUCCCCUCCCGCGGUGUAAUCAUCUUUAACAUACUGCUAUGUUCCCACCAAGCAGUACCGUUAUAGAGAAAACAGAACCGUAACCGUCCAACCCUACAUUCUGGGACACCGCUCUAAACUUAGUAGCAUGGGGUUGCCAUCAUAAAAUGUUCACCAGAAUCCAUCCGUCCAUUAUCUGAGCCGCUCAUCCUCACAAGGGUCAUAUGAAUGCUGGAGGCUAUCCGAGCUUUCAACGGGCAGGAGGCAGGGUACACCCUGAACUGGUUGCCAGCCAAUUGCAGGGCACAUAGAGACAGACAACAGUCGCACUCACAAUCACACCUAGGGGCAAUUUAAAGUGUCCAUAUAAUCCAUGUUUUGGGGAUGUGUGAGGAAACCGG
Long non-coding RNA from Syngnathoides biaculeatus (alligator pipefish), 2606 nucleotides. RefSeq lists it as uncharacterized. The record is from RefSeq and is a predicted model, not a curated record. The transcript has 11 exons. Lineage: Eukaryota; Metazoa; Chordata; Actinopteri; Syngnathiformes; Syngnathidae.